Molecule: ribosomal RNA, 996 nt
Filed under: uncultured bacterium
Lineage: Bacteria
Description: bacterial SSU rRNA
Rfam family: Bacterial small subunit ribosomal RNA
Source: RNAcentral
GGGGAAUAUUGCACAAUGGGGGAAACCCUGAUGCAGCGACGCCGCGUGGAGGAAGAAGGUCUUCGGAUUGUAAACUCCUGUUGUUGAGGAAGAUAAUGACGGUACUCAACAAGGAAGUGACGGCUAACUACGUGCCAGCAGCCGCGGUAAAACGUAGGUCACAAGCGUUGUCCGGAAUUACUGGGUGUAAAGGGAGCGCAGGCGGGAAGACAAGUUGGAAGUGAAAUCCAUGGGCUCAACCCAUGAACUGCUUUCAAAACUGUUUUUCUUGAGUAGUGCAGAGGUAGGCGGAAUUCCCGGUGUAGCGGUGGAAUGCGUAGAUAUCGGGAGGAACACCAGUGGCGAAGGCGGCCUACUGGGCACCAACUGACGCUGAGGCUCGAAAGUGUGGGUAGCAAACAGGAUUAGAUACCCUGGUAGUCCACACCGUAAACGAUGAUUACUAGGUGUUGGAGGAUUGACCCCUUCAGUGCCGCAGUUAACACAAUAAGUAAUCCACCUGGGGAGUACGACCGCAAGGUUGAAACUCAAAGGAAUUGACGGGGGCCCGCACAAGCAGUGGAGUAUGUGGUUUAAUUCGACGCAACGCGAAGAACCUUACCAAGUCUUGACAUCCUGCGACGGUUCUGGAAACAGAACUUUCCUUCGGGACGCAGAGACAGGUGGUGCAUGGUUGUCGUCAGCUCGUGUCGUGAGAUGUUGGGUUAAGUCCCGCAACGAGCGCAACCCUUAUGGUCAGUUACUACGCAAGAGGACUCUGGCCAGACUGCCGUUGACAAAACGGAGGAAGGUGGGGAUGACGUCAAAUCAUCAUGCCCUUUAUGACUUGGGCUACACACGUACUACAAUGGCGUUAAACAAAGAGAAGCAAGACCGCGAGGUGGAGCAAAACUCAGAAACAACGUCCCAGUUCGGACUGCAGGCUGCAACUCGCCUGCACGAAGUCGGAAUUGCUAGUAAUCGCGCAUCAGCCAUGGCGCGGUGAAUACGUUCCCG